RNAcentral lists this ribosomal RNA (945 nucleotides) under uncultured archaeon. Its description in RNAcentral is "bacterial SSU rRNA". It matches the Rfam family "Archaeal small subunit ribosomal RNA", at positions 1 to 940 of the family's 1478-position model. The record is from RNAcentral.
GGCCGCGGGAAUUCGAUUUCUGGUUGAUCCUGCCAGACCCGACUGCUAUCAGAGUGGGACUAAGCCAUGCGAGUCAACGUAGCAAUGCGUGGCGAACGGCUCAGUAACACGUAGUCAACAUGCCCAGGGGACGUGGAUAACCUCGGGAAACUGAGAUUAAACCGCGAUAGGUCAAGAUUUCUGGAAUGGAUCGUGUCUUAAAUCUACAUGGCCCCUGGAUUGGACUGCGGCCGAUCAGGCUGUUGGUGAGGUAAUGGCCCACCAAACCUAUAACCGGUACGGGCUCUGAGAGGAGAAGCCCGGAGAUGGGCACUGAGACAAGGGCCCAGGCCCUAUGGGGCGCAGCAGGCGCGAAACCUCUGCAAUGGGCGAAAGCCUGACAGGGUUACUCUGAGUGAUUUCCGCUAAGGAGAUCUUUUGGCAGCUCUAAAAAUGGUGCAGAAUAAGGGGUGGGCAAGUCUGGUGUCAGCCGCCGCGGUAAUACCAGCACCCCGAGUGGUCGGGACGAUUAUUGGGCCUAAAGCAUCCGUAGCCGGUUGUGCAAGUCCUCCGUUAAAUCCAGCCGCUCAACGGAUGGGCUGCGGAGGAUACUACAGAACUAGGAGGCGGGAGAGGCAAGCGGUACUUAGUGGGUAGGGGUAAAAUCCUUUGAUCCAUUGAAGACCACCAGUGGCGAAGGCGGCUUGCCAGAACGCGCUCGACGGUGAGGGAUGAAAGCUGGGGGAGCAAACCGGAUUAGAUACCCGGGUAGUCCCAGCUGUAAACGAUGCAGACUCGGUGAUGGGCUAGCCUCGUGUCAGCCCAGUGCCGCAGGGAAGCCGUUAAGUCUGCCGCCUGGGGAGUACGGUCGCAAGACUGAAACUUAAAGGAAUUGGCGGGGGAGCACCACAAGGGGUGAAGCCUGCGGUUCAAUUGGAUUCAACGCCGGAAAUCACUAGUGAAUUC